ACGGGGGUGGCGAGCGUUACUCGGAUUUAUUGGGCGUAAAGGGCAGGUAGGCGUCCUUUCAAGUUAGAAGUGAAAUCCUUUGGAACAACCAAAGCACUGCUUCUAAAACUGAAAGGAUUGAGGCCAGAAGAGGAGAGCGGGAUUCCCGGUGGGGGGGUGGAAUCUGUAGAUAUCGGGAAGAGCACCAGAGGCGAAGGAGGCUUACUGGUCUGGCCAUGACGCUAAGCUGCGAAAGCUAGGGGAGCCAGCAG
Molecule: ribosomal RNA, 251 nt
Filed under: uncultured prokaryote
Description: partial 16S rRNA
Rfam family: Bacterial small subunit ribosomal RNA
Source: RNAcentral